Molecule: ribosomal RNA, 482 nt
Filed under: uncultured bacterium
Lineage: Bacteria
Description: partial 16S ribosomal RNA
Rfam family: Bacterial small subunit ribosomal RNA
Source: RNAcentral
AUUGAACGCUGGCGGCAUGCCUUACACAUGCAAAUCGAACGGUAACGGGCCUUCGGGUGCCGACGAGUGGCGAACGGGUGAGUAAUACAUCGGAACGUGCCCGAUCGUGGGGGAUAACGAGGCGAAAGCUUUGCUAAUACCGCAUACGAUCUACGGAUGAAAGCAGGGGACCGCAAGGCCUUGCGCGGACGGAGCGGCCGACGGCAGAUUAGGUAGUUGGUGGGAUAAAAGCUUACCAAGCCGACGAUCUGUAGCUGGUCUGAGAGGAUGAUCAGCCACACUGGGACUGAGGCACGGCCCAGACUCCUACGGGAGGCAGCAGUGGGGAAUUUUGGACAAUGGGCGCAAGCCUGAUCCAGCCAUGCCGCGUGCAGGAUGAAGGCCUUCGGGUUGUAAACUGAUUUUGUACGGAACGAAAAGCCUUCUUUUAAUACAGGAGGGUCAUGACGGUACCGUAAGAAUAAGCACCGGCUAACUACGUG